GUACGUGCCCUUGGCGGGAAUCGAGUCCAGGACUGUUUGGUCCACAAGCCAACACUCUGUCCACUGAGCCAAACCGGCCAGGGCUCAGUCUGAGCUUGUAAAUCACAGCAGGUCCCCUGCCGCACCGCCUUUUUGGUUUCUCAGGACACCGAGUCUUUUGAAGAAGGGACUCGGGUUGUCUUUGAGAGUGGCUUCUGUGCUCGCUGUCACCUCCGGUUACAUCAAGGGCCCCAUUGAAAGGUCCCUAUGCACACGCAUCACUUUAUAGACAAACAAACAAAAAACAAACGGAGCUGGCAUUUGUUUACAGUUUUUUAAAAAAGGCCACUUUCUCUCUCAGGCGCCUCGGGCGGAAGCUUGAUGCCUCCCCAUUAAGGGGGUCAGCGUGUGCUGGCUGCGUGUUCCCUACACACGACACUCCGGGAAGCAGGUUCACGCCUCUCCCGGGGAGGCACCCAUUCCACAGCGUUUCCUUGCACACUCGCUCCCAUCGGGAACCUGUUCCCUCAUCUGGCGGAGACAUUCUGUCCGUGCAGGUCCUGUGUCAGUGAUCUGGACCCCAAACGGGAGUGGCUCCUGCGCAGAGCCCUGGGGAGCCGACAGGACGGGGAGCGCUGGGGGCCGGGGUGCUGGGCCCAUCUGCCGCUGACCCCCCACCCCUCCUGGGACCCUGAGCAAGCCCUUCUUAUCUAUCAGAAGAGGAGGGCAGAACAAGUAGAUAGUGAAAAUCAUCUGAGACACCAGCCUAAUUUAAACACAAAAGAAACCCCCGAAGCAUUCUCCGGACAGGGAGGCGCUCCACAAACAUUGACCGAGUGUCAUGGUGAGGGGUUCCGGACAUGCAACCCUGGAGCAUGGAUUGUUCUGAGCGGAAAGCACUAGAAAACGGCAAAGGCGGGGGAGGCUUACUGCCUCCUCCUCUGCCUGGAGCCUGACCCUCCUGGAGGGACUUGUUAUCACAAACCCCCGCCCCAGGAAUGCCAGCAGCCGGAGCCUCAGCACCACACCCAGGCCAACUGUCAGUCUGGGCCCGCUCCCAGCCAGUCUUCUCAGCCCCUUCAACUCCCCUAAAACGUACGCUCCCCCACGUUGGCUGCCUGCCCUCCCCUUCCUGGUAGGGGGGUAUAUGAGCUCUGGAAUCUCACCGAUUUAUUAUUCACUUUUUUCUGGCGAUGCUCCCGUACAAGUAUUAAACAUGAAUACAUGUCUACCCUCUCCGUCCCUCCGCCUGUGGUCAGCUUACCCCGCAGGCCCAGCUGGAGCCUAGGAGGGAAGAGGGGUGUUCUUGCUCCCCUUCAGGGCACUCUCUAGCUUCGACCUGUGCGUGGUACCCCGUUACCUCUAUUGCUGGUGUGAUUCCCUCCCAAUUGCCCCUGCUAGGAGAAGGAACAAAGAGAUGGCGAGCCCUGGCCUUGGCCUGGCGAUGUGUCUCACCCAGCACUCCGCAGGUAUUACGGAAACAUCCCACUUUCUCUCCCUUUGCUUGGCAGCCAUGGCUUCUGGCCCCAGUGAUCUGAGUCUGCGAAUACUUACCUGGCUUAACUGACAGAUAUCCUGAAGGUGAUCACUUCCGUUGCACAUGACUCAGUUUUGCUUGAACUUCCUGUAUAAAAGCCUCCCCUCCCGAAUCCUGGGGAUAACGUUACAACAGCGCUCCUUUCAGAUCACACGGGAUUUCCCACCCGAGUGUCUCUCACGUUUCUCACGCCGGGACCAAUGCAGCUUCAGGAGGGCAAGGACUCAGUCUUCUCACUCACUCCUGCACCCUGAAACCUCUCACUCCUCAAGCCACGGGAACCUGCAGAGAAUAGGCGAGGGUGAAAUGAGGAGCCAACCAGUUCCUGGGUCAGACCUUGGGGCUGGGGGGAGGGGAGAGUGGGCGAGAAGGUGGGGGAAGGAGAGAGAGAAAGCCAGCCAGCGGCCCUCAUGGCAAUGCCCGUGGAUCUCAGGAGUCUUCGGAGACUCAUCCGUCAAUCACAACGAAUGGGCCCUUUUGAUUCGAACCUGUUUUAAAAAUUACACAUCAAUCCAGGAAAUGGAACAUUGGCUGGAUUCUGGUGAAAUUAAAGAAUUAUUCUCAUUG
This is a long non-coding RNA of Pipistrellus kuhlii (Kuhl's pipistrelle), 2083 nucleotides long. RefSeq lists it as uncharacterized. NCBI's taxonomy places the organism in Eukaryota, Metazoa, Chordata, Mammalia, Chiroptera, Vespertilionidae. The record is from RefSeq and is a predicted model, not a curated record. The transcript has 2 exons.